Molecule: long non-coding RNA, 238 nt
Filed under: Brassica rapa (field mustard)
Lineage: Eukaryota; Viridiplantae; Streptophyta; Magnoliopsida; Brassicales; Brassicaceae
Description: long non-coding RNA (BRAP_LNC006683)
Source: RNAcentral
ACCUGUAAAAUUUGAUAUUGAUUUCUUGAACGGGUUGUAGGUGCAGUGGAGAUUAUUCUUUUUCCUUUUGAAGCUCAUCACCAUUUGCCAAUGGGAUUAGAGUGAACUUCUUUAACGCUUGUUUUUUUUUUAAUCUCUUUGGUAAUCAGAGAGUAAUUGCAUUCCAUUCUAGAGGAACCAUGAGAAGUCAUAGUUGCUGCUCGAACAUUGAGGAAAAGUAUUUUAUAUAAAAUAAUAG